Molecule: ribosomal RNA, 253 nt
Filed under: uncultured bacterium
Lineage: Bacteria
Description: partial 16S ribosomal RNA
Rfam family: Bacterial small subunit ribosomal RNA
Source: RNAcentral
UACAGAGGUCUCAACCGUUGUUCGGAUUCAUUGGGCGUAAAGGGUGCGUAGGCGGUCGCGUAAGUCGGAUGUGAAAUCUCGGGGCUCAACCCCGAAACUGCAUUCGAUACUGCGUGGCUAGGGUACUGGAGAGGAAACUGGAAUUUACGGUGUAGCAGUGAAAUGCGUAGAUAUCGUAAGGAAGACCAGUGGCGAAGGCGAGUUUCUGGACAGUUACCGACGCUGAGGCACGAAGGCCAGGGGAGCAAACGGG